Molecule: long non-coding RNA, 550 nt
Organism: Hibiscus syriacus
Lineage: Eukaryota; Viridiplantae; Streptophyta; Magnoliopsida; Malvales; Malvaceae
Exons: 2
Source: RefSeq, a predicted model, not a curated record
CACACAAAAAAACACUCUCCCCUUUUUUUCUCUCUCCUUAAUCAGCCGUGGAGAUCUAGGAGCUCCCACCGGCCACCGUACAUCGGUGGCAAUUCCCUAUAUUUAAUUGUCAUCCACGACGAUUGGAGAACCCAAACCGACUAAAAAAUGUUUGAUUUCUCCCCCAAAGCCCGGAUCCGAGCCUAAAAAGCAUAAAAAGACUACCCACUCUCAUAUUUCUUCUUAAAACUAGAUUUAAACUAACCCUAAACUAGAAACCCUAAAACUCCUAAAAGGGCUUGACCCUUCGAUCUCUAAUCUUCAAUAAGACCCCAAACGAUAUGGUGAAAGUAUAGAGACCCCCUGUUUGGAUUCAGACUGCUCUGAUAAGUUUGGCGAGAUCGUACGGGCAUGUUUGGCGUUGAUGGAGCGGGUGGCGGCAGUUUGGGUAGAGAUGGUAACAUAUACCCCAGAUAUUAAGGGAUUUAUGUUUUUAACUUUUGUUUUUUUCUUUUUUUGUAAUGAAUAAUAAAAAAUAAUAAUAUAUUGAGAUAAAAAUGGUGAUUACUCA